UGUGUGUUUACUUGUAAAAACUUAAAUGAGAAAAUAACUUUCCGGUGUCAGCCUUUUUACUUGACUCAUUAAUCGCAGUGCCUCACACGGCACCUGCCACCUGAAAAGCGCUGAGUUUGUUUACUGGAUGAUUGACUGGAAUGAACACAGAUAGCUUUUUACCUUUGCUUUACAGGGUUUGGAAGCUGGCUUUGCAUCAUAUUUGGUUGGCGUAACGGCAAAGGGGACAGAGAAAUAGGAAGGACCUCAGUGUAGGCUGGAGGCCACAGGCCAGAGGCCAAGUUGAUUGGAAUCAAAUCAGGCUUUGGAAAGGAGUCUGUGCUCCACAAGAGGAAGACACGAGCUGGACACGACUGCAGCCAUGAGAAUAACAUGAGAACUUCUCAUGUGAAAGUGGCUAGCCUCAGAGUGUUUUUGUUUUCAGCUAAAGACAUCAGAUCAAAAAGUGCCUUAAUCCAGCUCUGAAGAGCAAUGGAUAGUUUCCUGGGUUCCUAGCCAAUAACUGACUGAUGCAGUCAUUUAAUGGUGAAAUCAUGUCCACAAGAUGGCCCGUCAGAAUACUGCUUUGUGGAGCUAUAAACCAAAGUUGCACGCGCCCCCUUGCAGACAAACGAGGGUGAAAUGAGACAGGCAUGACAUGGCUGGAAGAGAGAUGGAUCAAAGGAUUUCCUUACGUUGCAAUCAAUACUAAGUGCUGCUUUGACAUAUGUUAUCCACCGGGAGAGCAGAACUGGAGUUGUCAUAAAGUAAUUAGAGGCUGGAUUGGGGAGCAUUGUGCAUGCCCUUCAACCAAAUGCCACAGAAGGACUGAAGUAGCAUAUACCUUGCUAAAGAUAAGAGACAUACAACUUACUCUGUGGGCACCCCACAAACGCUUCAUCACCGUCAUUUUGACCGGUUGUGGAUGUGUGCAUGGGUCACUAUUGUUUGCAGAAAAGAAUUCUUUGAAACGCUCGUCAAAUUUUCCAUUUAGUAGCGCAUCUGCAGACGGAGGCGCACGCCAUCACUUCGGAUGGCCACAGAUCAAGUGCCAAUCUAUUUUAGAGAGGACUGAAACAGGAGGCAGAAGGCUGAACUCAGGAAACUUGAAAUCUGACUGCAGUUUGCAUGUGAAGGCUGAGAUGGCCUUAAAUGCUUCUGCCUAUUCCAUGACAGCACGGCACAACUCUGAACAAUGAUGAGGAUGAUCACGUGAUUCUGCAUUUUCCUCUAACUUGGCAGAAGACUAAUCUAGAACCUUAUGACAGCCUAUGUAUUUUCCCGUGAUAACCACCCUUCUCUUAGUCCACAUAGCCCUGAUGACAUUAUCCCAACUCCAGCCUGUGAUGUUGGAAAAGGCUUGGAGAGAUUCUUUACCUCUGACUGCAAGUUCAGAGACUGGCACAGGAAGAAAAUAGAUGCAGGAGUUGACUCCAGAUGGAAUUCUGCUAGGAACUGUUAGGAAGAUCUUCUUACCUUAUUUUAGAAGGACGCAAUGCUGGAAAUGCUCAUGCCUGAAACAUAGAGAUGUCAUGUUUAAAAUACAGUUAUCAUGAACAGCACCGUGUCAAACGAUGGUAAAUAAAGAGAUACCAAUUAUUUAGUUUGAGCCUCUGAACCUAAGCAUGUCUGAAGCUGAAAUUAGUCAAGUAAAACAAAACACUGUGCCUCUAAAAAGUAUUGACACAAAGGAAUUAAUUUUGCUUUUUAAUAUACUACACGUUUUAUAAAGUGUACUGGGCAUAGAGGUACAUGCCUGUAAUCCCAUAACCUGGAAAGCUGAGAAUGGAGCUGUUACAUAUAGGGGUCAACCUGCAUGAAAGUGCAUGACUCAGCCUGAGAAACUAAGUCUAAAAUAAGCAACCAAGCAAGCUAAACAAAACAAUAAACAAUAGAACAAUAUACCAAAAUAUGGAUAUAUAUUCAAAUACCCUCUCCCCGGUGUCUCUCAGUCUCUUCCUGUCUACGUGACUGCCUUCCUGCUUGUCUGUCAGUCUGUCUGUCUUUGUCUCUUUCCUUGUCUCACUCUCCUC
RNAcentral lists this small RNA (2012 nucleotides) under Rattus norvegicus (Norway rat). RNAcentral describes it as "uncharacterized LOC108351976". Lineage: Eukaryota; Metazoa; Chordata; Mammalia; Rodentia; Muridae. The record is from RNAcentral.